AAUAGAUACCUGGUAGUCCUUACCGUAAACUAUGUAUACUUGGUGUAACUGAACUCAACCUCAGUUGUGCCGUAGCUAACGCGAUAAGUAUACCGCCUGGGGAGUACGCUCGCAAGGGUGAAACUCAAAAGAAUUGACGGGGACCCGCACAAGCAGUGGAGCAUGUGGUUUAAUUCGAUGCAACGCGAAGAACCUUACCCAGGCUUGACAUGCAGAGGACAGCGCUAGAGAUAGCGUUUCCCGUAAGGGUCUCUGCACAGGUGCUGCAUGGCUGUCGUCAGCUCGUGCCGUGAGGUGUUGGGUUAAGUCCCGCAACGAGCGCAACCCUUAUCAUUAGUUGCCAACACGUGAAGGUGGGAACUCUAAUGAGACUGCCCGGGUUAACCGGGAGGAAGGCGAGGAUGACGUCAAGUCCGCAUGGCCCUUAUGUCUGGGGCUACACACGUGCUACAAUGGUCGGUACAGAGGGCAGCCAAACCGCGAGGUGGAGCAAAUCCCAUAAAGCCGGCCCCAGUUCAGAUUGU
RNAcentral lists this ribosomal RNA (524 nucleotides) under uncultured bacterium. Its description in RNAcentral is "bacterial SSU rRNA". It matches the Rfam family "Bacterial small subunit ribosomal RNA", at positions 777 to 1301 of the family's 1533-position model. The record is from RNAcentral.